Non-coding RNA from Lasiosphaeris hirsuta, 86 nucleotides. NCBI's taxonomy places the organism in Eukaryota, Fungi, Ascomycota, Sordariomycetes, Sordariales, Lasiosphaeriaceae. The record is from the annotation of a GenBank genome assembly.
GCCCGCUUGGCUCAGUGGUAGAGCGUGUCACUAGUAUCAUCAUUAGGAUAAUGACAAGGUCAUCAGUUCGAUUCUGAUAGUGGGCA